Pelobates cultripes (western spadefoot toad) is the source of this 1193-nucleotide non-coding RNA. Lineage: Eukaryota; Metazoa; Chordata; Amphibia; Anura; Pelobatidae. The record is from the annotation of a GenBank genome assembly.
CCACAGAACAGGAAGCAUCUCAGUCCACUCCUGUUGAGUCAAAACUACAGUAGAACCAAAAGUAAUGGAUAAAUAUUCUAACCAGUGUCCAUAAAAGAGAUUCCUACUGUGGAGUCAAACUGGCUCAUAACUAAGCAAUAGAGAAGAGGAAAGUCAUUUUAAAUAAUAACAGGAGAGAAGCUGUGUAGCAGAGGAAAUAAGCGUAUUGCUACAAUACUAUCUUCAGGGCAAUAUGGCAAUAAAGUCACACUUUUGGGUUGUCCCUAACCUCACACCCCCAAUCAUGCACACAAUGAAUCCAGGCUAGGAGUAUUGUUGUUAGCUGUGAAACAUAUUCUCCCUACCCCCGUUUUGUGGUGUCUUGUUAUUUACAGCCUUUGUAUGCCCCACAAAGAGCAUAUCCUGUGAAGGCACACUCAUUUGCAAUGUCUAAAAAACAAUGCUUUAUUUAGGGAAGGAAACCCUUAGUAAUCUUAUACUGGUGAGUUAUAGCACUAUCUAACAAAACCCUACAGUGGAAAGAGGUGCUCCGUGUGGCUUUCCAUUAAAAAUCAAGAUGUUCGAAGGAUGAAUUCAUAAUGUUGGAGGGCAUCGUUUGAGCAACAUUUAUUUAUAUCUACAGGAGUGCAGCAUGAUCGCAGUGCAGUUUAUAAAGAAGCCCUUUUCCUGUCACCCUUGUGGAUUAGGUAGGAUUAAAGGGCUAUACAGAUGUACCCUGUACAAUGUGUGCCAUUACAAAAAAACACAGCAAGGUCAUGUCUUGUAACCUACACAACUACCAGGGUGGUCUUUUUUUUUCAGUAUAGGUCUGAUUAAUCCUGUAAAAAAAUCUAAAUACGUAUUGUCAAUUGGAUAAAGGUAACUGAUUCAUACUUAGGAUACCUUCCAAAAAGUAUGACCCCAGGUAGAUCAAAUGGGGGUAUGACUUGGGCAUGCAAGUGGUUGUGUAAACUAUACAAUGGGUAGAAGCUAGCUAUAUGAUAAUAAUCAAACUCUCACCAUGUAUUCGAUCUUUUAAGAAGUCUCUCAUAACCCAUCUCUUUAGAAAGGCUUAUGUCCUUCCAGAGUAACUUCUAUAUCACAAACCUGUCUCUUUUAAAAGACCACAAUUCACUCUCACCUCCAGUUCUGCUACUUCCCCACCUUGUUGUUUGGUUGCUAUCCCACCUGAUGCCCUUCAUAUUGUAUUUUUA